GAGUUUUGAGAUAGAGAUUAGAGCUUAAGGAAAUAACGUAUCUGGGGGUCCCUUUUUAUAGGCGGAGGGUGUAACAGAUUGACAGCGAUGUCUGUAGUCACCUGGUAGUGGGCCGUUUGGGGCCAUGAGGAGUUUGUUACAGAGAGUAGUGGAGUGGAGUCGUGGCCAUCACCAUGGCCUGCCACGUGGAACCUGUUGUGGAGAGUGGGGUGAUGUCCGUUGUCGUGACUCGCCAGAGCAUGAUGGAGCCACGUGGGAUCUGUUACAGGAGGUGGAGCAGAGUCGUGGCCAUUACUGUGGCCUGGCAGGGAGUCCAGGCUUGUCGGUCGAAGCUCGAUUGGGGUGUCUGGUGGAGAGAGAUGGUUCUCCAUCUAAGAGGAGCUUGGACGUUGCUGGCGAGCCUUCUACCGUUGGGUGCCUUGGGCACUGGUGUUGCAGGUGAAGGUCAUCUGCUGUAGAAGCUCGGUCAGGGGCUUUCUGUGGAUGAAGUUCGGUUUCAUGUAGAAUCCGGUGGAAGGUCGACCGACAGCGGAUGUCGGAUGGCGCUGGAGAGGUUCGCCCGCUAGAGGGGUCCGACUGCUGGAGUCCGUGUGUCGUAGGGGUUCCUCCUGAAUCUAUCCGCUACAGAAGUUCAAUCGGAGUCUGAUUCCCGUAGAAGUUCGGAUGGGGCUCAUUUGUAGAGGAAGCUCGAUCGAAGCCUGCCUGCAAUAGAAGUUCGGAGGAAAUUCAUUCACAAUAGAAGCUCGGGUGGAGGCUUACAGUAGAAAUCUGUCGUGGAUCGCCUGUAGUAGAAAUUCAAAGUAGACCGCUUAUUGUGGUAGCUCAGAGUAGACCGCUUGUGGUGGGGGCUCGGAGUCUGACCCUUGUCAGAAUUCGGAUGAGGCCUACCUGCA
RNAcentral lists this long non-coding RNA (893 nucleotides) under Elaeis guineensis (African oil palm). Its description in RNAcentral is "long non-coding RNA (EGUI_LNC051872)". The record is from RNAcentral. Lineage: Eukaryota; Viridiplantae; Streptophyta; Magnoliopsida; Arecales; Arecaceae.